RNAcentral lists this transfer RNA (21 nucleotides) under Garrulus glandarius (Eurasian jay). Its description in RNAcentral is "partial tRNA-Phe". RNAcentral also lists the same sequence under 22 other names. The record is from RNAcentral. Lineage: Eukaryota; Metazoa; Chordata; Aves; Passeriformes; Corvidae.
GUCCAUGUAGCUUACAAUAAA